AGUGGGGAAUAUUGGACAAUGGGGGGAACCCUGAUCCAGCCAUGCCGCGUGUGUGAAGAAGGCCUUUUGGUUGUAAAGCACUUUAAGUGGGGAGGAGGCUCUCUUGGUUAAUACCUAAGAAGAGUGGACGUUACCCACAGAAUAAGCACCGGCUAACUCUGUGCCAGCAGCCGCGGUAAUACAGAGGGUGCGAGCGUUAAUCGGAUUUACUGGGCGUAAAGCGCGCGUAGGUGGUUAAUUAAGUCAAAUGUGAAAUCCCCGAGCUUAACUUGGGAAUUGCAUUCGAUACUGGUUAGCUAGAGUAUGGGAGAGGAUGGUAGAAUUCCAGGUGUAGCGGUGAAAUGCGUAGAGAUCUGGAGGAAUACCGAUGGCGAAGGCAGCCAUCUGGCCUAAUACUGACACUGAGGUGCGAAAGCAUGGGGAGCAAA
RNAcentral lists this ribosomal RNA (428 nucleotides) under Acinetobacter towneri. RNAcentral's name for it is "bacterial SSU rRNA". It matches the Rfam family "Bacterial small subunit ribosomal RNA", at positions 353 to 772 of the family's 1533-position model. The record is from RNAcentral. Lineage: Bacteria; Pseudomonadati; Pseudomonadota; Gammaproteobacteria; Moraxellales; Moraxellaceae.